AGAGUUUGAUCAUGGCUCAGGAUGAACGCUGGCGGCGUGCUUAACACAUGCAAGUCGAACGAACCUUCGGGUUAGUGGCGGACGGGUGAGUAACGCGUGGGAAUCUGCCCUCAGGAGGGGGAUAACGGCUGGAAACGGCCGCUAAUACCCCAUAUGCCGAGAGGUGAAAUGAAUUUCGCCUGAGGAUGAGCCCGCGUCUGAUUAGCUAGUUGGUGAGGUAAGAGCUCACCAAGGCAUCGAUCAGUAGCUGGUCUGAGAGGAUGAUCAGCCACACUGGGACUGAGACACGGCCCAGACUCCUACGGGAGGCAGCAGUGGGGAAUUUUCCGCAAUGGGCGAAAGCCUGACGGAGCAACGCCGCGUGAGGGAUGAAGGCCUCUGGGCUGUAAACCUCUUUUCUCAAGGAAGAAGAUCUGACGGUACUUGAGGAAUAAGCCACGGCUAAUUCCGUGCCAGCAGCCGCGGUAAUACGGGAGUGGCAAGCGUUAUCCGGAAUUAUUGGGCGUAAAGCGUCCGCAGGCGGCCCUUCAAGUCUGCUGUUAAAACGUGGAGCUUAACUCCAUCAUGGCAGUGGAAACUGUUGGGCUUGAGUGUGGUAGGGGCAGAGGGAAUUCCCGGUGUAGCGGUGAAAUGCGUAGAUAUCGGGAAGAACACCAGUGGCGAAGGCGCUCUGCUGGGCCAUAACUGACGCUCAUGGACGAAAGCCAGGGGAGCGAAAGGGAUUAGAUACCCCUGUAGUCCUGGCCGUAAACGAUGAACGCUAGGUGUCGGGGGAAUCGACCCCCUCGGUGUCGUAGCCAACGCGUUAAGUGUUCCGCCUGGGGAGUACGCACGCAAGUGUGAAACUCAAAGGAAUUGACGGGGGCCCGCACAAGCGGUGGAGUAUGUGGUUUAAUUCGAUGCAACGCGAAGAACCUUACCAGGGUUUGACAUCCUGCGAACCUCUUGGAAACGAGAGGGUGCCUUCGGGAACGCAGUGACAGGUGGUGCAUGGCUGUCGUCAGCUCGUGUCGUGAGAUGUUGGGUUAAGUCCCGCAACGAGCGCAACCCACGUCUUUAGUUGCCAGCAUUUAGUUGGGCACUCUAGAGAGACCGCCGGUGAUAAACCGGAGGAAGGUGUGGAUGACGUCAAGUCAUCAUGCCCCUUACAUCCUGGGCUACACACGUACUACAAUGCUACGGACAAAGAGCAGUAAGUUCGCGAGGACAAGCAAAUCUCAUAAACCGUGGCUCAGUUCAGAUCGUAGGCUGCAACUCGCCUACGUGAAGGAGGAAUCGCUAGUAAUCGCAGGUCAGCAUACUGCGGUGAAUACGUUCCCGGGCCUUGUACACACCGCCCGUCACACCAUGGAAGUUGGCCACGCCCGAAGCCGUUACUCCAACCCUUGUGGAGGAGGACGUCGAAGGUGGGGCUGAUGACUGGGGUGAAGUCGUAACAAGGUAACCGUA
This 1449-nucleotide ribosomal RNA is filed under the name uncultured bacterium. RNAcentral's name for it is "bacterial SSU rRNA". It matches the Rfam family "Bacterial small subunit ribosomal RNA". The record is from RNAcentral.